Molecule: ribosomal RNA, 354 nt
Filed under: Pantoea ananatis
Lineage: Bacteria; Pseudomonadati; Pseudomonadota; Gammaproteobacteria; Enterobacterales; Erwiniaceae
Description: bacterial LSU rRNA
Rfam family: Bacterial large subunit ribosomal RNA
Source: RNAcentral
GAGGUUAAGCGACUAAGCGUACACGGUGGAUGCCCUGGCAGUCAGAGGCGAUGAAGGGCGUGCUAAUCUGCGAUAAGCGCCGGUAAGGUGAUAUGAACCGCUACAACCGGCGAUACCCGAAUGGGGAAACCCAGUGUGACUCGUCACACUAUCAUGCAGUGAAUACAUAGCUGUAUGAGGCGAACCGGGGGAACUGAAACAUCUAAGUACCCCGAGGAAAAGAAAUCAACCGAGAUUCCCCCAGUAGCGGCGAGCGAACGGGGAGGAGCCCAGAACCAUCAUCAGCUUGUGCAUCAGUGGAAGCGUCUGGAAAGUCGCAGGGUACAGGGUGAUACUCCCGUACACAAAGGUGCA